UUUUCUUUACCUUUGUUGGGGRAAAAUGGAAUCGAUCGUAUCUUGGUGUUUAUUUAGAAACAAAACUGUCAGUGGCUCAUGUAGUAGUUUAUCUUCCUAUCAAACCUAACGUGUGUUCAGCAAAGCUACCCAGGAUGUUCUCUCACGAGUUACUUAGGAACUUAAGUACACUGAUGUAUGAAACAGGACGGUCAUACACCGUUCUCAUAAUGGCUGACGAGCGCACGAAAAGGAGGCGACUCAGUAAUCUUUCAAGGCAGAGCAUGGCUGCUCAUUCAAAAUGAAGGUGGAUAGCAGGAAUUCAAAAAACAAAAGAGCUAUUUCGGGGUAACGAAGGAACCUGGAAGACCUUAAGACGGAACGUUGGGUGAUGAUGGAAUAAAAGUUGUUUUAAGACGCCUUUUGAACAAGGGAAGGGGUUUGCAAUUUGACUACUAUUUAAUAUUAAACAGCGAUAAUAUGGAGAGAUAUCGAUGCAGCCCGUGUAGUUCGCAGACGGGCGGGUCAAUGCGGAAUUAGUCUUGUAAUGGGAAAGAAGGAACAAAAAAGCUAAAAAUAAUUAAUAAAGGAAAAAGGACCAACUCUGAGAAGUGAAAUUUGUCAGACAGUAAUUACGCAUAAAAGUAGAAGUAGUUCUAUAAAUAGAGUAUAGUUCUAUGUUCGUAAUGACUAUAUAUCGUAUAGGAAAUCGUAUUAUCAAGCAAGGUCAAUCAUGAAAAACAUUAGCGGUUUACGACUUCGAUCAAUAUGAAUCGAGCAGUUUUGUUGAGUGUACUGAUAAGUUAAGUAGUUGUAAUGACAAGAAUCUAGAUAUGAUCACUUCACUGACAUAGGCGGAGACUUGUUCGGUGUCGCAUUCCGUAGACAAUUGUAAUUGAGGCAGAUGUAUUAACUUAUUUCAAUAAAGUUGGUAAAGCUUUUUGAUAAAAACUG
Molecule: long non-coding RNA, 933 nt
Organism: Actinia tenebrosa (Australian red waratah sea anemone)
Lineage: Eukaryota; Metazoa; Cnidaria; Anthozoa; Actiniaria; Actiniidae
Source: RefSeq, a predicted model, not a curated record